GACGAACGCUGGCGGCGUGCCUAAUACAUGCAAGUCGAACGCUGAAGGAGGAGCUUGCUCUUCUGGAUGAGUUGCGAACGGGUGAGUAACGCGUAGGUAACCUGCCUGGUAGCGGGGGAUAACUAUUGGAAACGAUAGCUAAUACCGCAUAAGAGUAGAUGUUGCAUGACAUUUACUUAAAAGGUGCAAUUGCAUCACUACCAGAUGGACCUGCGUUGUAUUAGCUAGUUGGUGGGGUAACGGCUUACCAAGGCGACGAUACAUAGCCGACCUGAGAGGGGGAUCGGCCACACUGGGACUGAGACACAGCCCAGACUCCUACGGGAGGCAGCAGUAGGGAAUCUUCGGCAAUGGACGGAAGUCUGACCGAGCAACGCCGCGUGAGUGAAGAAGGUUUUCGGAUCGUAAAGCUCUGUUGUAAGAGAAGAACGAGUGUGAGAGUGGAAAGUUCACACUGUGACGGUAUCUUACCAGAAAGAGACGGCUAACUACGUG
This 495-nucleotide ribosomal RNA is filed under the name uncultured bacterium. RNAcentral describes it as "partial 16S ribosomal RNA". It matches the Rfam family "Bacterial small subunit ribosomal RNA", at positions 28 to 507 of the family's 1533-position model. The record is from RNAcentral.